GUUACCGACAAUNGGUUAAGGCGAAAGAUUAGAAAUCUUUUGGGCUCUGCCCGCGCAGGUUCGAAUCCUGCAGUUGUCG
Molecule: transfer RNA, 79 nt
Filed under: Zygosaccharomyces bailii CLIB 213
Lineage: Eukaryota; Fungi; Ascomycota; Saccharomycetes; Saccharomycetales; Saccharomycetaceae
Description: tRNA-Ser (AGA) cove score=36.48
Source: RNAcentral